Molecule: non-coding RNA, 176 nt
Organism: Enterococcus devriesei
Lineage: Bacteria; Bacillati; Bacillota; Bacilli; Lactobacillales; Enterococcaceae
Source: Rfam
UUAGCUAUUUUAGAUAGGUUUGUGUUCAUGAUUCAUGGAUGCAAACGACACAAGUUUGUAUCUAUGAUGGCUAAGGAUUUUAAGUUCGACUUAACGCCACAUAGAUGAAAAUCUAUAGUGGCUUUUUCUUUGGAUUCAAUUUAUUUUGGAGACUAGGCUCAUUGUAGAUUUUCUAC